RNA transcript from Nematostella vectensis (starlet sea anemone), 2972 nucleotides. It is a transcript of the gene named intraflagellar transport protein 80 homolog, with no coding region annotated. The transcript is spliced from 24 exons. The record is from RefSeq and is a predicted model, not a curated record. Lineage: Eukaryota; Metazoa; Cnidaria; Anthozoa; Actiniaria; Edwardsiidae.
CCACUCCUCCACGGAUUUCGCAAUCGCCUGGCUAUUAUUCUUACUGUGUAAUGGCGGCCUAGUCGCCAUCGAAAAGUACUAAGGACAUUUUCGCCGCGAUUUGUGGUCCUGAAUUAACACCAAAUCCUUCAUUAUACAUCAGUACAAACGAAAGAAACACUACAUCUUUACUGGGGGUCUAACGAUGGUGUUUUGAGUGAAAUUUCUUGGUGAAAUCAACGAGUGAAGUUUGUUUACAGCGGUUGUCAAGUUGAAAAAUACUAAAAAAAAAUACCAAGAUGAGAUUGAAAACACACUUGCUAAAAGAAUCGAAACAUAAGGAGCUUGUGAGUUGUGUUGGAUGGACCACAGCCGAGGAACUCUACUCUAGUGGAGAUGACCACAGUAUUCUUAGAUGGAAUCUCCUAUCAGAUGAGACGACAGAAGUAGUCAAACUACCACAGGAAGUGUUCCCCACUGAUCUGCACUGGUUCCCUAAAGUUCUCGGCAAUAAGAAACAGAGCCAGUUGGAAUUAAUGGUGCUAACAGCCACAGAUGGGAAGUUCCAUUUGAUAUCACGUAAUGGCAGAGUGGAAAAAUCAGUUGAGGCCCACAGGGGGGCUGUGCUAUCUGGUCGCUGGAGUUAUGAUGGUUCUGCAAUGGUCACAGUGGGAGAAGAUGGCCAAGUGAAGAUUUGGUCUCGCAGUGGAAUGCUUCGCUCCACUCUCAUGCAAACAGGUACCCCUGUCUAUUCUGUUGCAUGGAGCCCAGACUCAGAUCACAUCUUGUACACAAGCGGCAAACAGCUUGUCAUCAAACCCCUACAGGCCGCAGCUAAGCCAAUCCAGUGGAAAGCCCAUGAAGGAAUAGUUCUAAAGAUUGACUGGAAUCCUAUCAAUAACCUCAUUCUGUCUGGUGGAGAAGAUUGUAAAUACAAGGUUUGGGACAGCUACGGUCGUGUCCUGUACUCCAGUGCCCCCCAUGAGUACCCCAUCACCAGCGUGUCCUGGGCCCCAGAUGGUGAGCUGUUGGGUGUCGGCUCCUUCAACACGCUAAGGCUUUGUGACAGGACAGGGUGGUCCUACGCCCUGGAGAAGCCAAACACAGGGUCCAUAUUCAACAUUGCAUGGUCCAAUGAUGGGACUCAACUGGCAGGAGCUUGUGGGAAUGGACAAGUGAUAUUCGCCCACGUCAUCGAAAGGCGCUUGGAGUGGAAAAACUUUGAGAUGACUGUCACAGAAAGGAAGAGCAUUAAUGUAAGGGACGUUGUGAAUGACAGCAAAGACACUCUUGAUUUCCGUGACCGGAUUAUCAAGACUGCACUGGGUUUCCAGCACCUUGUGGUUGCAACCUCAUCACAGUGUUACAUCUACAGUGUGAAGAACUUCAACACCCCCAUGAUCUUCGACCUGAAGAAUGGCAACAUAUCGCUCAUUGUUCUUUCUAAAAGACAUUUCCUUGUGGUCGAUGACGCUGGUUUGCAAAUAUACUCAUACGAGGGACGUCUUAUUAGCGCACCCAAGUUCCAGGGGCUCAGAACAGACGUGCUGAACGAACAGACUGUGUCCCUCAGCAACGACACCCUUGCAAUUAAGGACCGCAAAGACGAAAAAGUUAUCUACCUGUUUGAAGCUUCGUCUGGGAGAGCUGUUGGUAGUGGAGAACCGCUGACACACACCAUGGAGGUGAUGGAACUGGCCCUGAACCAGUGUGGACCCACCGGUGAUCGCCAGCUCGCCAUCAUCGACAAGAACAGGGAUCUGUAUCUUACCCCCGUCAAGCAUAUUGGCCCCGCUGCCAAACUUGUUAAACUUGGUACCAUGGUGACGAGUAUGGCGUGGAAUGACUCCACCAAUAUGCUGGCAGCUCUCCAGGACGGUCGCUUCACCGUCUGGUAUUACCCCACGGCCGUGUUUGUCGACCAGGAUAUCCUGCCGAAAACUUUACUGGAAAAGGACUCCAGCGAUUUUGGGAAAAACCCUCAUAUCUUGAACUUCCUCGAGAAUCACUGCAACAUGCGACGAGCCGAUGGUUCCCUUUGUAGCACCAUAAUCUCACCAUACCCAGCAAUGCUGCACAAGUACUGCUCCGAUUCCAAGUGGGAUGAUGCGGUCCGGCUGUGUCGCUUCGUCAAGGACCCUGCGCUAUGGGCGUGCCUGGCUACCAUGGCUGCGUACGCAAAGGAACUAAACACAGCAGAGACGGCCUACGCUGCUAUUGAUGAGGCUGACAAGGUCCAGUAUAUAAACCACAUCAAGGAGAUCCCAACCAAGGAAGGCCGUAACGCCGCCAUGGCCCUGUUUUGUCGACAAGUCAUGGAGGCGGAGACGAUCCUGCUACAAGCUGGACUUGUGUACAGGGCCAUUCAGACAAACAUUGAUCUCUUUAACUGGGAUAGGUACGGCCUAUUGGAGGGCGUUGGAGCUCGCUGUUAAGCACAAGACCCAUGUAGACACUGUCUUGGCCUUCAGGCAGAAGUACCUGGACAAUUUUGGACGCAAAGAAACGAGCAAGCGAUUCUUGCAGUUUGCUCAGGGGGUCGAGGUGAACUGGGAAAAAGUGAACGCAAAGAUCGAGGUAGAGUUGGAGAAAGAGGCGUCGAGACCUGGAGCCAAACCUUACUCUGGUUGAUUUCUCUAUAAAGGACUUUGAACAGGCCUUUAAGUGGCCAAAUUAACAUUCCCAUGCUACGUCACGUCAUGGUCUAGUCAUACAAGCCUGUCACGUCCGUCCACCGUAAAGGCUGGUGUAGACAACACGAAUUAGUCGUAUGUGACCUGCCUACGACAUGUCUAUGCCUUGAAUUAUACGCUACGACUGUCGUAGUCGAACAUCGUAGGUUGAUUUACGAUCCACGAUUCAAGUUGUAGGUGUCGUAGGCAGGUCGCAUACGACUAAAUUGUGCUGUCUAAAUCAGCCUUAGCAAAAUCUAAGCUGGCAAGAGAGGAAGUUUGUAAAAUAAGCUUGUGAAUAAUAAACUUAUAUUAAGAGUU